RNAcentral lists this long non-coding RNA (742 nucleotides) under Rattus norvegicus (Norway rat). RNAcentral describes it as "long non-coding RNA NONRATT008523". Lineage: Eukaryota; Metazoa; Chordata; Mammalia; Rodentia; Muridae. The record is from RNAcentral.
GUGGGGACGCCGCCCCGCCCCGCCAGGUACGGACUGACCACUCCCCCGGGCGCGCGCGCCGCGCCGCCGCCGCCACCGCCGCAGGGAGAGAAGACAUAAUGACCAGCUCCCCAUUCCUGGAUCCCUGGCCAUCUAAGGCUGUAUCUAUCCGUGAGCGUCUGGGUCUUGGGGACCGUCCCAAUGACUCCUAUUGCUACAACUCAGCCAAAAACAGCACUGUGCUCCAAGGGGUCACCUUUGGAGGCAUCCCCACUGUCCUGCUCCUAGAUGUUGGUUGCUUUCUGGUUUUAAUACUGGUGUUUUCCAUCAUAAGGAGAAAAUUCUGGGAUUACGGCCGCAUAGCCCUGGUAUCAGAAGCAGGCAGAGCUGGGGACCAAACCCAGGGCCUUGCACUUGCUAGGCAAGCACUCUACCACUGAGCUAAAUCCCCAACCCAGAACAUUUUUUACCUAGAAUUGAGGCCAGAUUCCGGAGACUGUCAUCUUCUUCCUCAGGGCAACAAGACUUUGAAAGUGAACUGGGAUGCUGCUCUUGGCUAUCGGCCAUCUUCCGCCUACAUGAUGACCAGAUCCUGGAGUGGUGUGGAGAAGAUGCCAUCCACUACCUGUCCUUCCAGAGACACAUCAUCUUUCUGCUGGUGGUGGUUAGCUUCUUGUCCCUGUGCGUCAUCUUGCCUGUCAACCUCUCAGGAGACUUGCUAGAUAAGGACCCUUACAGCUUCGGGAGGACAACAAUAGCAAAC